CGUCACACCAUGGGAGUGGSUUGCAAAAGAAGUAGGUAGCUUAACCUUCGGGAGGGCGCUUACCACUUUGUGAUUCAUGACUGGGGUGAAGUCGUAACAAGGUAACCGUAGGGGAACCUGCGGUUGGAUCACCUCCUUA
RNAcentral lists this ribosomal RNA (139 nucleotides) under Salmonella enterica. RNAcentral's name for it is "partial 16S ribosomal RNA". The record is from RNAcentral. Lineage: Bacteria; Pseudomonadati; Pseudomonadota; Gammaproteobacteria; Enterobacterales; Enterobacteriaceae.